Molecule: transfer RNA, 90 nt
Filed under: Rhodovulum sp. NI22
Lineage: Bacteria; Pseudomonadati; Pseudomonadota; Alphaproteobacteria; Rhodobacterales; Paracoccaceae
Also listed under: 3 other names
Description: tRNA-Ser
Rfam family: tRNA
About the family: Transfer RNA (tRNA) molecules are approximately 80 nucleotides in length.
Source: RNAcentral
GGAGGGGUGGCAGAGUGGUCGAAUGCGGCGGUCUUGAAAACCGUUGAAGGUUUGCGCCUUCCGGGGGUUCGAAUCCCCCUCCCUCCGCCA